Molecule: ribosomal RNA, 460 nt
Filed under: uncultured bacterium
Lineage: Bacteria
Description: partial 16S ribosomal RNA
Rfam family: Bacterial small subunit ribosomal RNA
Source: RNAcentral
CCUACGGGAGGCAGCAGUGAGGAAUAUUGGUCAAUGGACGAGAGUCUGAACCAGCCAAGUAGCGUGAAGGAUGACUGCCCUAUGGGUUGUAAACUUCUUUUAUAUGGGAAUAAAAUGUUCCACGUGUGGGAUUUUGUAUGUACCAUAUGAAUAAGGAUCGGCUAACUCCGUGCCAGCAGCCGCGGUAAUACGGAGGAUCCGAGCGUUAUCCGGAUUUAUUGGGUUUAAAGGGAGCGUAGGUGGAUUGUUAAGUCAGUUGUGAAAGUUUGCGGGUCAACCGUAAAAUUGCAGUUGAAACUGGCAGUCUUGAGUACAGGAGAGGUGGGCGGAAUGCGUGGUGUAGCGGUGAAAUGCGUAGAUAUUAGGAGGAACACCGGUGGCGAAGGCGGCUUGCUGGACGGUAACUGACGUUGAGGCUCGAAAGCGUGGGUAGCAAACAGGAUUAGAUACCCCAGUAGUC